UACGGAAGGCAGCAGUGGGGAAUAUUGCACAAUGGGCGCAAGCCUGAUGCAGCCAUGCCGCGUGUAUGAAGAAGGCCUUCGGGUUGUAAAGUACUUUCAGUCGUGAGGAAGGUGUUAAGGUUAAUAACCUUAGCAAUUGACGUUAGCGACAGAAGAAGCACCGGCUAACUCCGUGCCAGCAGCCGCGGUAAUACGGAGGGUGCGAGCGUUAAUCGGAAUUACUGGGCGUAAAGGGCACGCAGGCGGUUAAUUAAGUUGGAUGUGAAAUCCCCGGGCUUAAACCUGGGAAUGGCAUUCAAGACUGGUUAGCUAGAGUCUUGUAGAGGGGGUAGAAUUCCAUGUGUAGCGGUGAAAUGCGUAGAGAUGUGGAGGAAAUACCGGUGGCGAAAGGCGGCCCCUGGACAAAAGACUGACGCUCAUGUGCGAAAAGCGUGGGGAGCAAACAGGGAUUAGAUACC
This 458-nucleotide ribosomal RNA is filed under the name uncultured bacterium. RNAcentral describes it as "bacterial SSU rRNA". It matches the Rfam family "Bacterial small subunit ribosomal RNA", at positions 340 to 786 of the family's 1533-position model. The record is from RNAcentral.